RNAcentral lists this ribosomal RNA (399 nucleotides) under uncultured bacterium. Its description in RNAcentral is "partial 16S ribosomal RNA". It matches the Rfam family "Bacterial small subunit ribosomal RNA", at positions 360 to 776 of the family's 1533-position model. The record is from RNAcentral.
AAUUUUUGACAAUGGGCGCAAGCCUGAUGCAGCAACGCCCCGCGAGUGAUGAAGGCCUUCGGGUCGUAAAGCCCUUUGAUCAGGGGUGAUCAUGACAUUACCUGAAAAACAAGCCACGGCUACCUACGUGCCAGCAGCCGCGGUAAUACGUAGGUGGCGAGCGCUGUCCGGAAUUACUGGGCGUAAAGGAUGCGUAGGUGGAUACUUAAGUGGGAUGUGAAAUCCCCGGGCUCAACCCGGGAACUGCAUUCCAAGCUGGGUAUCUAGAGUGCAGGAGAGGAAAGAGGAAUUCCUAGUGUAGCGGUGAAAUGCGUAGAUAUUAGGCGGAACACCAGUGGCGAAGGCGGCUUUCUGGACUGUAACUGACGCUGAGGCAUGAAAGCGUGGGUAGCAAACAGG